This is a long non-coding RNA of Capra hircus (goat), 5779 nucleotides long. RefSeq lists it as uncharacterized. The transcript is spliced from 2 exons. Lineage: Eukaryota; Metazoa; Chordata; Mammalia; Artiodactyla; Bovidae. The record is from RefSeq and is a predicted model, not a curated record.
CGCCCCUCCCCGCACACACACCCUCACAGGAAAGUUCCCCAGCCCGGGCCGGGCUCCCAGGCAGCUUGGCGCCAUGCCAGGCUCGCCGCCGAGCGCGGGCAGCCGGGUGGGGUGAGCAGCGGCGACACUGAGGACGUGGCCGGGCACCCUGGGCGCCAGCAGGACCCAAGGCCCGGAGGCCGGGGCCCAGAAGGCUGUGUUCGGGUGGCUGUGUUUCGGCUCUUGGCUGCAGCUGGUUAAUUUUUCCGAAUCUGUACAUCCAGGUGUGCACUGAGAAGUUUUUUCCCAACGCAAGAUGUUUCCCCGUGAGCCUUGGGGUCCUCCUAGAAAUGUGUGUGUGAGAGACUGCCAAUUUCAGAGAAGUUGUGAGUGAGAGGAAGAGGUGGCCGUGCCUGCGUCCACUGCCUCCCCUCAGACACCGAGUCUGGGAAGGACUUUGGAAGCAGAAUCUUGGAGCUUGUUUAGAAUACAGAGCUGAAAAACGGACGAAUGGCUGAAAUGUUAGCAGCUACAUUGACGGUAGUUGAAAAUCCCUCUCUCUGAACAUCGUUGGAAGCCAAGCACAGCUGUGAACAUGCUUGUCCACAUCUCUGGUUAUUUUCAAAUAUAUCUAAAAAAUAUAUGUUCAUCAUGUAAAAAUUAUUUAGACCCUUAUUUUCAAGUCUAAUGUCAUCCACUGUCUGAUUGCUUACAUGACCUCUUUCUUUUGGUUAAAAAAAAUGAACUUCAUGUUUCUUUAAAAUUAGGAAUUACACCAAAAGUUGCUCUAUAAAUAGCAAGAAACAAAACAGAACAAAAGCAUUGGCUUUCUUUUUUAGUAUUUUAUUUUGCAGCCAUUAAAUAUUAUCUUGUGAUAAAUUUAGGCGAGACAUUUUUUCACUUUUUAUAGAAAGGGCAUAUGUGAAAAAUCCAACCUUAAUCUUAUCUUUCUGUUAACCAGAUCUAAAAGCUAUAAUAUUUAUUCAUAGUCAGGAAAAUGAAACUGUCAUUAUGCAUAAGGUGAAGUACUUCUGCUGUGUGAAAUCAUGUUAGAGUUUAAAAAAAAAAUGGGAAUAUUUCAAUAAAUAAGACCAGUGUGGUCAAAUUUCAAACAAUUUGUAAUUGACACUCCCAUUCCCUAAGUCCUUCUUUCUGUAUGGAUUCAUUUCGCAGGCAGUUUAGGUCUUGUUGCAGUCAUUUUAAAGAUGUAAUCUGUGAAAUCUUUAUUUAAAAAAUAAGUUCCUGCUAUGCCUUACAAUUUAGCAGUGAACCAUCUGAAUUCUAAAUCAGGGUUUUUUCCUUUCUUUUUUUCUUUAGUCUAGAGGGGUUAUAAUUUAUCUAGCUCACUGAAGGACUAAGAAAUGAUAUUAAAAUUCCCAUUUUGUCUGCGGGGAAGAAAAAAAAUUCUAUACUGAUUUUCAUUAGCAUUUCAGCAUUAUUUAAACUAAAAAUAAUAUAAACAUUUGACAGUUUUAAAAACUGCUUUCAAUUCUUAAUUGCUAAAUUCUGCUUAGAUAUAAUUUUAAAAUAAUAAUGACUAAUAAUGACUAUCAGACUCCUAUAAAGGAUUGAUAAGAUAUAAAAAGUACUUCCAAAAAAUCGAUAGUUUUCAACCGUGAAAGGAAGGCAUUCCUUGAAAACUGAGGGAGUGAAAUUCUUUUCAGAUUUUCUGAUGUCUUUUAGCUCUUGUGGAAAUUAGUACCUCCUUCUACCAGAAACUGUUACAGUUCAAAUUCUAAUAUAUCUUUAAUUGCUAAAAAAAAAAAAUUGCUAUGAGCCGCACAAUAAAUUCUUUAGAAAAAUGUUAAUUUCCCAAUUUAUGAUGAUUCCAUUUUAGAAAUUGCAGAAUUGAGCAACCUAAAUACAUAAAUUCAUCACCCACAUCUUUUUGAAAGGUAAUUUUGAUGUUUUAAAAAAUUUAGUUUGUACUGUGCUUUUUCUCAUUCCUUAUAUUAAGCCAGGAAUAUAGCUUUGGCAUUUGAUACAUGCAUAUAUAACCAGGGAUACUGGCCCAUCUUCUUUAAUUCGUAUUUUCUGAUUUGUGCUUCUCACUAUUUUGGAAUGGAAAAGAUGCACUGUAAUUCCUCAUUGGUAAGGGGAAAUUUCUCAUCCUAACACAUACGUAUUAUGUGCAGUAUAUUCACAUAUUUAUAUCCAUGAUCGAACACACAUUUAUUUUAGGCUUCUAGUUGUUGGAUGCUCUCCUCUUAAUUGAAAAAUAUUAACUCCUUAAAGAAUGCCCUCGGGGUUAAUAGACUUUUUUGAUAUACACGCACAGGUAACAUUAUGGAACGCGAACAUGUAGACUUCCAAAGUGUGUUUAAUACGAUGAAGCAGCCACUCACAGACGCUUUCUACCCAGGCAGGUGACUGCGUGGCGUGGCGCUCCCCCGCCAGUCUCGCGUCGCGGUCGGAAGCGGGCACACUGAGUCUGUUCUUUGUACGUGCGCACAUUUCUUUUUGAGAAAGCGAGCAUAGAAGUGCCCUGCCAGCACGCUUUUUUUGUGGGGACGAGGGCUGGAUACCAGUGCAGUAUCCUGCCCUGUGCUUUGUCCCUCAAUAUGCUUGUCCCAUGCCCGGAGUUUCCUUUCUAUUGUUCGUUAACUCAAAAACCAAGUAACCUAAAGCAAAAGGUUCUGAAAAAUGCUUCUUUACGUUUGGAAGGAAAGAAUCCUUUCUAUGGAUACUUGCUCACUUUUCUUUAACUACUCUGAGACCAUAGAAACUAUUUUACUCACCUGAAGGCUUCUGUCCCCUCUCUGUAAGGAAAAAAAAAAAAAAAAAGCUUACCUAAGGUAAAUUGAUGCUAAUAGGUUUGCGGGUUAAAAUGAAGGCUUCAGAAAGCAAGGGUGCAAGUUAUUACGAAAUAGAUGGGUCAAAAUGGAAUCCCAAACCUACAAAGUGCUCUGUGACAAAGGCAAAAGACAGAAAGAAAACCGUGAGCCUGGGCUGCUUUUCCGCACGGCGCCCAGAGCUCUGCAGAGGCUGCCCAAAAGGGCGCUGUCUGGGAUGACUGAAAGGGUGGCAUCUUACCCACGAGCUGCCACAAGCUGGCCACCUCCGGUUUACUGGGCUAGUUUUUAAAGCAUCGGAGUCUUGGGGUGCGCAAGUCGAAUGUCUAAAACCCAACUGAACAUGUAAGUUUCCACUCACACUUCAUCCUGCUUACUUUAAUUAGAUUAAAUGCAUCUGUGUACCAAGUCCUCCUAAUGCUUUGCACACCGAAAAUUUUAAACUAUUAAACGUCGCUAGGUUAAGAACAGGGAAACUAAACUCAAGUGCCCCGGCCUUGUGAGGCUGGACUGUGGCUGAAAGCCGUGCUGGAGCACAGCAGGAAGUGGCCGGCCGCAUUCCCAUUGGGCAAAUCUUGGGAGAAAUCAGGAAAAAAUAACUGUAUAAGGCUGGUACUAUAAACAUCCUGGUAUAGCGAGAGCCUUCCUAUGACUUAUUUUUCAAAUAUCUGACCACGGGCAUGGUGCGGCCCACAGGCAGAGACCAAGUUCUUCCUCCAAGAAAGCUGUUCAUCAGAAUAGUCAUCCAACAAAGUCAAUUUCCACGUUUUCUUUUUGCUAAUGUGAGCGCCCUUUUAAAAAUUCAUUUACUUUGAAUAAUACAAUAUGAUAGGGAGUUGGAAAAAGACUUUACAAACCUGAAACCUGAAAAAUACCCAACAGAACAGGAGUGCUAUUAUUUUCCUUACGUAAAGCAGAAUUUGAUUUCUGAAUUUGCAACCAAAUUAUAUGUAAAUCCUUGCCAAGUAUAGAGAGGAUAAAAAAGUGUGUGUUCUUGAAUAUUAUUCUGACUCACCCAAUUUCUUGUUUUACCAAAUAAAAAUUGGGAGGAGGAAAAAUUAACUUAUUACUGUGUGUGAGAGCAAGAAAAAAAAAAAAUUCAGCUAAUAAAAAGGUUAGCAAGCCAGUACAAUUACACAAUGAUUUCAGGUGAAAAUUACAAAGCUAAUAUCUUGGCAUUUAGUCAUUGCCUUCAUAAUGAUACAGUUGUCAAAUCGGUAUUUGUGCCAAUGGAACAAGAGUUGUAAGUGGCAUAAUGGAAGAUAAUCUUUUUCUUUGUGGCUUUUUAAAUUCAGUGUUUUAAUCCACCCAUUUAAUCACACAACAUAUAUCACAUUAGUUAUAAUAUUUAUAGUGUUUAGGAAAGUGAUUAUAAAUAGAUUAUAGUGUGGUGGUUGAAUGUGUUGGUUGUAGUAUUUGUCUCUGUGUGUGUGUGUGUGUGUGUGUGUGUGUGUGUGUGUGUGUGAAUUUAUCUCAAAGGUAUGAAGCCUUUCUGGAGUUUGCACUUGGGAAUGAUUUUCCGUGAGAAGAGUCACCAGAUAUUUAUUUUCAAAAUCUCCAUUUGGCCCUUACCAAGCUGGCUGAUUAUUUUGGAAAAACAGAGAUUUGGUAUUAAAAGGGCCCGGUAUGUCCAGUGUUUAGAUCUCUGUAUCCAGCCUGGUCUCUGAGGCAUUUCUGUUGCUCUAGUCCCCAAAGUUGCUAAACCACAAAAUGUCUUUAAUAUGUUUUUUUAUAAAGUAGUUGAACCAUACAGUAAAGAUGGGGAAAGGGGGACUUUAUAAUGGCAGUUAGUGGUUGGGUUCUUCCUUGGUGUGGCCAGAGCAGGAGGAGGUGACGGCAGGGUCUGUGUGGCUUGGGCGGGGGCGCCCUGCAGUACUCAUCUCAUGGGAAUGUGUCCUCUUCCCCCAUACGUCCUGGUCAGGGCUGGCAACUGUCACAGUGGAGAAAAUUAUAAAGGACGGCACUAAGGAGAGAUUGGUUUUUCCUGCCGUCUUGUUGGAACGUGGCUAAGGCUGCUGGGAGUCCUUUUCUGAGGAAGGGGAGCACAGAAUUCAUGGGCUUCCCAAGGGGACCCCACAGCCCUGGAAGCUGGGAAGGGUCACCCCGAACCUUCCUCAGGGCAGGAGCAAAACCCACUCCAUCGUGGAACUACCCCAGCUUGGGCCCUCUCACUUGGUGUCAGCAGCCAUAGAAAGUGAAAGUUGGUCAGGGUUUCGGUGAAAAGAUUAAUCAGAAAACAUUUCCACUCCACUCUCUAAAACUGAAUUUUCUCAUGGCUGGGGGUGGGGGGUGGAAUGUCUGUCCCUACAAAGAAGAGGCCAUUAGGAAGAUUCUAACACACAAGAAAGUAAUUUUGGAAGAUUUCUUAAUCCAUCCUAUUUCCCCCCCUCCUUCCCUUCCUCCUCCCCACAUCGUAUAUGUCAUACGGUGGUGGCAGUCAUGUGUGUGUGUGUGUGUGUCUAGCACGAUUCAACGCCAAGGUCAGGGUGGGCCUAGGGAGCCUCCUAGGUGGGUCAGUGGGCAAGGGAGGCCCUGGCCUGAGCUGCUUCGCCUGCCCCAGCCCAGCCUGGCACCAUGGCGGGUACCCCCUGCCUGGGCAGUCCAGUGUGGAAUGAAGUUUCCUGGGAAGCAGGGCGCACGAGGAACUUUUGAAUUUACCAAUGGCAUAAAAAGUAUAUAUAUUUUUAUGACAACGGGCAAGUUCUAAUUGGUUGACAGAGAUGGCGAGAUGUGACGUCAAGGGACACUGGUUAGAAUGCCAAGGCCGGCUGGGCUGGGGGGGCGGGGAGAGACAGGCCCAGAGAGACACUGGGAUGGGGCCCAGGAGGCCUCCUUUCACUUGGGCCCCUGUCGCGGGCACUGGGUACAACCAGGUCCAUUUGGCUCUGAGAGAGGGCAUGCCCCGGGUAGGGGGAUGGGGUCCAUGCAGGGUGACCCCGUGUCGGCGUCCCCAAGCGCCAGGAAUCACUCAGGCGCCCCUACAGAAUAGCCAAAAAAAAAAAAAAAAA